This 261-nucleotide unclassified non-coding RNA is filed under the name Celastrus hirsutus. RNAcentral describes it as "partial contains external transcribed spacer and 18S ribosomal RNA". The record is from RNAcentral. Lineage: Eukaryota; Viridiplantae; Streptophyta; Magnoliopsida; Celastrales; Celastraceae.
GGCCUCGCUGCUCGCUUUCAUCUAGCGCCCCCCGUUGGGCGUGGGAUGAACUCGUUGGUGCUUUGCGUGUUCCUUUGUAAGCCAUUGGCUUAUCUCUCGGCCCACGCUCGGUUACCUGACCCUCGGAUGCUGAAAAUUAAGUGGGCAAGGGGUUGAGAAACCCUCUUGAUAAGCCCGAGCCUUGCGCUCGUCGCUCGAACCGAAAGACGUUGUGGCUCGCCUUGGCGUUCUUGAACCGUUGGUUCUCGUAACGGCCAUGCG